This 908-nucleotide ribosomal RNA is filed under the name Pseudomonas sp. AMF3319. RNAcentral's name for it is "bacterial SSU rRNA". It matches the Rfam family "Bacterial small subunit ribosomal RNA", at positions 56 to 981 of the family's 1533-position model. The record is from RNAcentral. Lineage: Bacteria; Pseudomonadati; Pseudomonadota; Gammaproteobacteria; Pseudomonadales; Pseudomonadaceae.
UGCAGUCGAGCGGUAAGGCCCUUCGGGGUACACGAGCGGCGAACGGGUGAGUAACACGUGGGUGAUCUGCCUCGCACUCUGGGAUAAGCCUGGGAAACUGGGUCUAAUACCGGAUAUGAGCAGCCUCUGCAUGGGGGCUGUUGGAAAGGUUUACUGGUGCGAGAUGGGCCCGCGGCCUAUCAGCUUGUUGGUGGGGUAACGGCCCACCAAGGCGACGACGGGUAGCCGACCUGAGAGGGUGACCGGCCACACUGGGACUGAGACACGGCCCAGACUCCUACGGGAGGCAGCAGUGGGGAAUAUUGCACAAUGGGCGAAAGCCUGAUGCAGCGACGCCGCGUGAGGGAUGACGGCCUUCGGGUUGUAAACCUCUUUUGACAGGGACGAAGCGCAAGUGACGGUACCUGUAGAAGAAGCACCGGCCAACUACGUGCCAGCAGCCGCGGUAAUACGUAGGGUGCGAGCGUUGUCCGGAAUUACUGGGCGUAAAGAGCUUGUAGGCGGUCUGUCACGUCGAUUGUGAAAACUUGCAGCUCAACUGCAAGCUUGCAGUCGAUACGGGCAGACUAGAGUACUUCAGGGGAGACUGGAAUUCCUGGUGUAGCGGUGAAAUGCGCAGAUAUCAGGAGGAACACCGGUGGCGAAGGCGGGUCUCUGGGAAGUAACUGACGCUGAGAAGCGAAAGCGUGGGUAGCGAACAGGAUUAGAUACCCUGGUAGUCCACGCCGUAAACGGUGGGUACUAGGUGUGGGUUUCCUUCCACGGGAUCCGUGCCGUAGCUGACGCAUUAAGUACCCCGCCUGGGGAGUACGGCCGCAAGGCUAAAACUCAAAGGAAUUGACGGGGGCCCGCACAAGCGGCGGAGCAUGUGAUUAAUUCGAUGCAACGCGAAGAACCUUACCUGGGUU